UCUGUCCGAGCGUCUGCCAACCUCAAAGUCCUCGCCGGGGUGCGAGGAGAUUGGGGAACUGCGGUGUCGACACCAAACCGACGCCGCACUCCCUGARGAUUUGAAGACCGGUGUGGUCGCCCGCCGUACGAGUCGGUCGGUGACGACGGCGCACAGUGUCGUCCCGCCGUGCUGGUGCGAGCGGAUGGCCGCUGCCGGUGAAGAUCGGGUCUUUGCAAAUCUGGACCUCGGAUCAGGCCAGGCUACCCGCUGAAUUUAAGCAUAUCAWUMAKCGGAGGAAAAGAAACUAACAAGGAUUCCCUUA
This 304-nucleotide ribosomal RNA is filed under the name Dysidea sp. DE-2012. RNAcentral's name for it is "eukaryotic LSU rRNA". The stretch from base 223 to 304 matches the Rfam family "Eukaryotic large subunit ribosomal RNA", at positions 1 to 82 of the family's 3401-position model. The record is from RNAcentral. Lineage: Eukaryota; Metazoa; Porifera; Demospongiae; Dictyoceratida; Dysideidae.